UGCUGUGAUGAGAUCACUUGUAGGAAGUGCCGUCAGAAGCGAUAACUGACGAUACCUGCUCCUGGCUGACU
RNAcentral lists this small nucleolar RNA (71 nucleotides) under Meriones unguiculatus (Mongolian gerbil). RNAcentral's name for it is "Small nucleolar RNA SNORD49 (ENSMUGG00000013473.1)". It matches the Rfam family "Small nucleolar RNA SNORD49". From Rfam's summary of the family: U49 belongs to the C/D class of snoRNA which contain the C (UGAUGA) and D (CUGA) box motifs. Most of the members of the box C/D family function in directing site-specific 2'-O-methylation of substrate RNAs. Lineage: Eukaryota; Metazoa; Chordata; Mammalia; Rodentia; Muridae. The record is from RNAcentral.